This 71-nucleotide transfer RNA is filed under the name Cavia porcellus (domestic guinea pig). It matches the Rfam family "tRNA". Rfam says of the family: Transfer RNA (tRNA) molecules are approximately 80 nucleotides in length. Their secondary structure includes four short double-helical elements and three loops (D, anti-codon, and T loops). Lineage: Eukaryota; Metazoa; Chordata; Mammalia; Rodentia; Caviidae. The record is from Rfam by way of RNAcentral.
AGGGAUUUAGCUCAGUGGUGUAAGCACCUGCCUGAUAAGCAUGAGGUCUGGGACUUGGAGUUUAAUCCCUC